AACGGGGGGAGCGAGCGUUACUCAGCAUUAUUGGGCGUAAAGGGCAAGUAGACGGUCUUGUAGAGUUAAAAAUAAAAGGUCAGGUGUCAAACUUGUAACUAUUUUUAAAACGCAAGCACUAGAGUUUAACAAGGGAUAACAGUACCCCGAAUGGAGAGGUGAAAUUCAUAGAGAUUGUGGGGGACUACCGAGUGGUGAAGACGGUUAUCUAGGUUAUAACUGACGUUGAAGGGCGAAGGCUUAGGGAGCAAACAGG
RNAcentral lists this ribosomal RNA (256 nucleotides) under uncultured bacterium. RNAcentral's name for it is "partial 16S ribosomal RNA". It matches the Rfam family "Bacterial small subunit ribosomal RNA", at positions 524 to 776 of the family's 1533-position model. The record is from RNAcentral.